AUAGCGUAUAUUAAAGUUGUUGCAGUUAAAAAGCUCGUAGUUGAACCUUGGGCCUGGCUGGCCGGUCCGCCUCACCGCGUGCACUGGUCCGGCCGGGCCUUUCCUUCUGGGGAGCCGCAUGCCCUUCACUGGGUGUGUCGGGGAACCAGGACUUUUACUUUGAAAAAAUUAGAGUGUUCAAAGCAGGCCUAUGCUCGAAUACAUUAGCAUGGAAUAAUAGAAUAGGACGUGUGGUUCUAUUUUGUUGGUUUCUAGGAUCGCCGUAAUGAUUAAUAGGGAUAGUUGGGGGCAUUCGUAUUCAAUUGCUAGAGGUGAAAUUCUUGGAUUUAUUGAAGACGAACUACUG
RNAcentral lists this ribosomal RNA (346 nucleotides) under uncultured eukaryote. RNAcentral's name for it is "SSU rRNA". It matches the Rfam family "Eukaryotic small subunit ribosomal RNA", at positions 594 to 945 of the family's 1831-position model. The record is from RNAcentral.